CAUCUGUUCCCUGCACAGCCGGCCUGGCUCAGAGUGGCCAUGCAACCCAGCCAGACCUGGCCAUGGGGGCCCCCACCAAGGUGCCAAGACAUCCUGGCCUGGAAACCCUGGAGGCCACACAUAGUGUGUGAACUUAUUUCGAGGAAAAGCCCUCCCACUCCCCUAAGAACUGAAAGAGAGAAGAGGCUCUUGUUGCCAGCAAGAGGAAGGCAGGCUGGACAUCAGGAAGAACUUCCUCCUCAUAAAGUUUUGCCAAAGACUUAAUGGCUGGCCUGUCAAGAGCGGUGACAGAAGCUAUUAUGGAAACAAGAUGGGAAUAUUUUGGAGGCAGCAUCAACAGCACUGCCCAUUGCCAGGGCUCCAAGGACCAGAAGGAGGACAGUCAUACCUCCUGCCUGCCACCCCCAGGAAGGCCAUGUGCUCUGCCAGAGAGGUGCUGGGUCAUUGCGGAUUCAAGCCACUGACUGUGAAUUGAUCGCCUCUGAGGACGUUUUAAUUAACCGCCAGUUCCCAGAGCUGCCCCAUCCUUCCUUUCCCCAACCCCUCCCUGGUCUGCAGCCACUAUCGUCCCCAACACAGAAGCAAGAAGCAACCAGCCAACAGCGCAAUACAGUGAGAGGGACCGCUGGAGGAUUGUAGAUGGGGGACAAGCAGAGGAGAGGUUCCAGGACCCCGGUGGCAGCCUGAUCUGGCAGAUCUAGAUCUCUAAGGGGUCUUGCACUGGUCAUGGACUCAGGGCCUGAGAACCAGACCCAGUUCUGUAGCUGAUUGGUUACAUGAGCUUGGACAAACCCUUGGUUUUGAAAUGCCUCAACUUCUCACUCUAUAAAAUGGGAACAAGGCCAGGCGUGAUGGCUCAUGCCUGAAAUCCCCACAUUUUGGGAGGCCAAGGUAGGAGGAUAGCUUGAGGCCAGGAGUUCGAGACCAGCCUGGGCAACAUGGCAAGACUCCAUCUCAACAAAAAAUUAGCCAGAUGUGGUGGCACACGUCUGUACUCCCAGCUACUCAGGAGGCUGAGGUGGAAGGAUCUCUUGAACCCAGGAGUUCAAAGCUGCAGGAGCUACAAUGACACCACCGAACUCCAGCCUGGGCAACAGAUCAAGACCCUGUCUCUACAAAAUAAACAAAAUAAAAAUAAAGUGAGGUGGGAACAAUAGCAGGAAGUGCCCAUAAAACAUGUGCAAAGAUGCUUUCAGAGCUUCAAUAUCUUGGAAUCACUUUCCACAAUCCUCUGAAGCACCUUCUGCUUAAUCUUAUCUAACUCUCAAAUCAACUCCAAGAAAUGGCAUAAUUAUCUCCAUUUUAAUAGACAGGGAUCAGGAGACAGGGAGGAAGGCUGAAGUGGGCACACAAUACUAAUUUGCAGGAACAGGAUUGGAGCCCACAGUCUUCUCUCCACAACCAGAACCUGCCUUAGUAUGAGGGAUUCUUAUUAGACUAUCAGUCGUGACAGCUACCAUUACCUUAUACCAAAAGUUACACUAACCCAGAGCUUCUCCAACUUGACUGCACACAGGGAACUCCUGAGCAUCUUGUUGAAAUGCAGAUGCAGAUUCAGCAGGUCUGGGAUGGGGACUGAGAUUCUGUGUUUCUAGUAAGUACCAAAGUGAUACUGAUGCUGCUGGUUCAAAGACCACACCUUGAGUAUCAAGGUGCUAAUGCUUUAUCUCAUUUGGUUGGCACAAUAGCCAGUGAGACAGGCAUUAUUAUUAUCAUCCUUGCUUCACAGAGGACACUGAGGCUUAGAGAAAUGGAAUAAGUUCCUCACGAUCACAAUGCUAAGCAGAAGAACCAGGGUUAGGACCCAGGUCACCUGGCCAUAGUCUGCCCACUGGGCCCCAGUGCUAGACCAUCUAUCUCUCCAGCGUUUGCCUAAGAAGUCAAUGACCUGGAAUUAUGUGAGCCACACCAGGAGUGAGGUCCUGAGGAUGGGCAGGAGGGCUCAGAUGAUACAAGAGCAGAGGGCAUUAGGAAAUACAGGUUUCUUCAAGAGAAACCUUGGCCUCAGCAAGGGAGGAAACUGUAGUUUGGAAAGCAGGUGUUGCCAUAUCUAGAAGAGAGAGAUGCUGGUUCUGGAAACUUCUCUCGCUUUGAUGGGAGCGCUCUGAGCUGGGGAUGGUUAGCUUGGAAGAGAAGAAUUUUUAAGUGGACUGGCAAGAGGCCCUGGAGCCAGGAUGAGAAGGAGGAGCUCCAGCCUCGGGGACCGGCAACUGGGAGGACUUGCACUGGCUUCAGGCUCAGGGAAUGACCUCACAAGGGCCACAGAAGAAAAAAAUAUAAAUGUGAGAAAGUGAGCAGGCCUAGAAGGGGUGCAGGGAGAGGAAGACAAGAGCAAGGGUCACGCACUCAGAUGCCAACAGGUGCCAGGUAGGUGUCCAAAGUGAGUGAGGUGGGCCCGUGUCACCAGAGCUGAUUCUUCAAGUGAAGUGGGAAGUUCACACUCAACGGGAAAUCCCCCAUUUUUUCAAUGCUGCUUACCUUUUCCAAAAAAAAUCCACUUUUUUAUAUUGCCCAGUAUUUCAAAAAAUAUAUAUGUAAGAUUGUUCAGACCUAAUAAGAUAUGUCUAUGAGCAAGAUAGGCUCUUGGGUCACCAUUUUGCAACCUCUGGACCACAGCCAGCACAGGCUGGAUUUGGUGGGAAGGGGGAGUUUGUGGGAGUCCUGAGAGAGGAAGGGGACAGGUUUGAGGGACAGCAGCCAUGCAUGAUAGAUAUGAGAGAGAGAGAGAGAGAGAGAGAGAUGAUAGCAAAAAUUAGGGUUUUGCUGGCUGUGCGCAGUGGCUCACGUCUAUAAUCCCAGCACUUUGGGAGGCCAAGGCAGGAGGAUCACUUGAGGUCAAGAGCUCGAGAACAGCCUGGCCAACAUGGCAAAGCCCCAUCUGUACUGAAAAUACAAAAACUAGCCAGGCGUACUGGCACACAACUGUGAUCCCAGCUACUCAGGAGGCUGAGGCAAGAGAAUCACUUGAACCCAGGAGGCAGAGGCUGCAGUGAGCCAAGAUUGUGCCACUGCACUCCAGCCUGGGCAACAGAGCAAGACUCUGAAGACUCCAUCUAAAAAAUAAAAAUAAAAAAGAUGCAAUGCUGCUUCUUAUAAACAGAAACAGAAUCUUCUUUAGUGUUCUUCAGAAGACUUUGAUAAACAUUCCAGGGAUUUCUCCAUGUUUUGGCUCCCAGACUAGUGUGUCUUUUACUGUGACAACGAGCAGAGACUGAAAUGCAGCUGCUCACUCUUAUAUGGGUUCCACAAGAAGGCCAAACCACAGGAGGCUGCAGCCCAGAGGGACCACAAGCUUGCAGUGGAGGCAUUCCCAGGGCACCAAGAAGCAUGUCAGGACCCUGAGCCACCAAAGACCCACAGACACCAAGGGGAAAGGCCAUUAGGACAGAUUCCCAGUGACGGCUGCCCCCAGGCGGGGCAAGCAGGCUCCUCUUUGCAGGUACAGAUCUAAAGCAAAGGAUCUGAGCAGACAGAGUGGCAGGUAUAGGUGGGAAAUUCACCUUAUGGAUAGACAUGCAGGAGGAGGAAGAGGAGGAGAAGAGGGAGAAGGAGCAAGAAGAGGAAGAGCAGAAGGAGGAAGGAGAGCUAAGCGUUGUUGAGCACCAAGCACUACUUGCAUUGUUUCGUUGAAUCACCAUAACGUUUUUAGCACUUGAUCUUAUCCCCACUUUGCAGAUAAGGAAACUAAGUCUUGAGAAGAUAAAAUGGUUUAAAGGCACCUGCUGGAAGUGGCAGAAUAGGACUGUGAUUCCAGGCCUGUCUGGAUCCAGAACCCAGGCUCUUAACCAUUUAUGCGACAGAGGCCCUCAGCCCCUCCCCACCACGUAGAGCCACCUGCACAUCAGGCCACAGACUUGGCGCCCGACGUGCAGGUGGCUAUACUUGGGGGAGAGGGGCUGAGGGCCUAUGUCUCAUAAAUGUUCAUAUGACAAAACUGAGGCCACCAUAACCAGUUUUACUCUAAGCUGCCAGGCCCACCAAGUAGGGCCUAUAACAGCCAAGCACUGAAAAGACCCUGUAGCCUCUGUUAGGUAAGGGCUAGAGUUUGGGGCCCUCUCCUGGUACAGGACUAGGGUGCUUCCCAUACAUGAUGCCCCCAGGGACCUCUUUCCCACAAAGAACAAAACCAUAAAGCUCCAGACAGCCCAGGGGCCUCUUUCACGUGGCCAGGAAAUGCUGGAGAAAAACCCUCACUAGGUCCUCCCAGUCCCCAUCUGUCCUUGUCCCCGGCUCCCACUGUGCCUAUUCCCAGGCUACUGGGCUGCUUGAGCCCACACUGCCUGUAGCCACCCGCCUAGGAGCAUUAAUUGAAAAUUAAUCCGCUCGGUACGUGCCGGCGUGCAAAUCAAAGCUAAGUGUCUCAAUUAGGAAGAGAAAUGGAGUCGGGCACUCUUCUCAGAUGCUGGCUUAUUUAUGGGGAUAAUAUCAUUUUUAAUGAGGGAAGCUACUAAAAGGCACAACAAAUGCAACAUUUAAUAGAAAAAUAUUACAGCAUUCCAUCAGCAGAACACAGCCAGGAGAGUGGGUUCCAGGGAUGCAGGAGCACGCGGGUGUCUCUAUGGUUGUCCAAGCACCUUGUACAAGCAUGUGUGUGCACACGUGUCCCCAUGAGCCCUCGUGUCUGCAUGCACACUGUACACGGACGGCUGCAUGCAUCUCCUUCUCUGGAUAUGUGUGUAUGUGAAUAUUAGUGUCUGGGUCUGGUGUUUGGGGAGUAGUGAAGCUUUCCGCUGUUUUUGCUGCAAAAGAUGAAUUUCCCAUCUGCCGCCUAAAGAACUGUCAUUCUGGGCCCUGGGCCAGCCAAAUAAAAAUCUAAGGUAUUUCCCAAUACUAAGGAGUCCCGGUCCAUUUGGUCCCUGGAGAAGUGCAGGUCUCUGGCACCAGUCUCCAUGGAGGGUCUUCAUGUGCAAAUCAGACCCCUGGGCCCCAGCCUCCUCCACACUCCUCUUGCCACACAUGGGCUAUGGUUGUCUCGGCCCAGCACAUCGCUAACAACUGCAGGACAAGGCCCUCUUGUCAUCAUCCCACUGCCCCAAGCUGGCACUUGGGCUAGCUACCUGCUUUACCCUUGGUCUCAGCUUCAAAAGUCAAGGACUUUACUUCCCAGGCCAAGUCCACGUUCCUGGGCCUAUUUUCCCAUUCCUCCGCCUAGGUGCGGCACAUCCGUAGACCCGGGCUCUGCAGCUCCAACUCAGGAUGGUCUCGGCUCCAGCAACUGUGGAAUGGAGAAGUGAUUCCAUUGGGGUGGCCAGCUCAGAAUCUACACCGGCCUCACCCUAGCCCAUCAGAGAACACUUUUCCAGCCCGCAACACAGCAUCCACAUGUCCGUGCCUUUGCUCCCGUGGGACCCCUACUAGAAAGCACGUCCCAUAUCCUGCCUUCACUCCCAUGCUCAGAGCAGCACCUCACUAACCCAGCACUCCCCAAGGAAGCUUAGGUGACCACCUCACCGUCCUCAGACUCCUCCCGAGACCCUGGUGCCAUGCCUCACCCAUGGGAAUAAUAACAGGGCCUGCCUCACUAAGUGUGCUUGGUGCAUCUGCAUCAGCACAGGGCAUGGCCCAGAGUGGCUCACUGUUAGGACUAGUUUGACCGCGAUUAUGACCAGGUUAUAAUAUCCACCUCUGUUACCUCUUCCCACCCCAUACAAACCCUGGGAGGCACAGAAUGAGGAUUUUUCUCUACGUUUCUCCAAACCUUUUUGAAGGAACCUGAAGCUCAGAGAGAUUGAGACAUUUGCCAGAGGCUGCACAGCAGAUCUCAUUUUGAAUGAGGAGUAACAUCAAAAGAUUUGCAGAGGUUCCCCAGGGCACCAGAUCCCAAGUGUCCUGUACUCAAAACCCGGGCUCUCCCAUCACAGAAGAGGCUGGGGACUCUAAGCCAGGGACUCAGGUGUCACCAGGUUCUGUCUCCCAUCAGCUGGGUGACUCUGGACUUGUUACUUACCCUCUGUGUGUCAGUUUUUUCAUUGAUAAAAUGAAACAGGUGAUAACAGCACCUACUUCAUGGGGAUUUCUUUGUCAGGGUUAAAUGAGCUAAUACUCACAAAGCACUUAGAAUCAAGCCUGGCAUAUGAUAAAUGUUCAGUACGUAUUGAGAUGUCAUUACUAAUAUUAGGCCACCGUACCCCCAGAUCAUUCUCUCCCUGGCCAGGUAGCAAGAAUCAUCCAUCAAACAGUCUGUGAAGGUCCCCAAGGCAGGGCCUUCCCCUCCGUCAAAUCCCCAGCAUGGGAGCCAGUGUUACAUUCCUUAACCCGGAGAGUGCGUAUUCAUACAACGGUCAUCAGUCAUUGAGCUGUGGGCUUAUGUUGUACGCACUUUAUGUUUGUGCAUUUUACUUGAAUUUUUUAAGCAAAUAACAAUAAUCGUCAGGUAAACCAAGUGGAGGUCGGGGUGCAGUGCUCGGCAGAGCACUCACUGGGCAGUGGUAUUGGUGGCUACUGAUUUCAUGUCUGCCUCCUUCACAAGACCUUAUGCACCACGUGGGCAAGGAUGACAUCUGGUUCCUUCCCUGCACUGUCCCCAGCACCUAGAAAAAUGUCUGCGCAUGGCAGCUGAUGAAUUACCAUUGAAAGUGGGAGGGAGUUGAUGGGUACCGAGGCACGAAUGGAGAGGAGAAGAUAUCACACCUUCAGAGUGGCCACCUUGCUGCCCCCAUAGCUGGGGAGAGGUGGGCUCUUUGCUAAGUGGAGAUCUGAGUCCUUGAACCCUCAGUCUCAGGAGUGGAGACCCCCCAGCCCAGACCAAGAGCCUGAUUGGAGGCUCCCCCUCCCUCUCAGACCCCAGUACCUCCAGAUUGACGACAUUUGAAAGUUAUCUUCCUACAAAAGUCACUCUCC
RNAcentral lists this long non-coding RNA (6840 nucleotides) under Homo sapiens (human). Its description in RNAcentral is "HSALNT0004947". The record is from RNAcentral. Lineage: Eukaryota; Metazoa; Chordata; Mammalia; Primates; Hominidae.